Molecule: ribosomal RNA, 398 nt
Filed under: uncultured bacterium
Lineage: Bacteria
Description: partial 16S ribosomal RNA
Rfam family: Bacterial small subunit ribosomal RNA
Source: RNAcentral
AUAUUGCACAAUGGAGGGAACUCUGAUGCAGCAACUCCGCGUGAGUGAAGAAGGUUUUCGGCUCGUAAAACUCUGUCAUUGGGGAAGAAUAAAUGACGGUACCCAAUCAGUAAGCCCCGGCUCACUACGUGCCAGCAGCCGCGGUAACACGUAGGGGGCGAGCGUUGUCCGGAAUUACUGGGCGUAAAGGGCGCGUAGGCGGCCUAAUAAGUCAGAUGUAAAACCCCCGGGCUUAACCCUGGGCUUGCAUUUGAAACUGUUGGGCUUGAGGACAGGAGAGGAAAGCGGAAUUCCCAGUGUAGCGGUGAAAUGCGUAGAUAUUGGGAGGAACACCAGUGGCGAAGGCGGCUUUCUGGACUGUAACUGACGCUGAGGAGCGAAAGCCAGGGUAGCGAACG